Molecule: ribosomal RNA, 382 nt
Filed under: uncultured eukaryote
Lineage: Eukaryota
Description: partial 18S ribosomal RNA
Rfam family: Eukaryotic small subunit ribosomal RNA
Source: RNAcentral
UGUAAGCGUAUACCAAAGUUGUUGCAGUUAAAACGCUCGUGGUCGGGAUUUGGCAGUUCCGGAUGUGUGCACGUCGUGUGCGCACUUCGCGGGGAUUGCUUUUGUGGUCUUGCGUAGGAUGAGGCACUUUUAUUAGUGAACGUCCUCACGCAACCACUUUUUACUGUGAGAAAAUCAGAGUGCUCAAAGCAGGCAUUUGCCGUGAAUGUAUUAGCAUGGAAUAAUAGAAUAGGACUUGGUUCUAUUUUGUUGGUUUGUUGGGACUGAGUAAUGAUUAAGAGGGACAGUUGGGGGCAUUUGUAUUUCGGUGCUAGAGGUGAAAUUCUUAGAUUACCGAAAGACAAACUGCUGCGAAAGCGUCUGCCAAGGAUGUUUUCAUUGA